AGUAGCAAUCCUCAUUGACAUAGCCCGCCCGCUGGUACGAGCCAACACGGGACAGGCAAGUCAUUCAAGGUGAUGCGCCACUCUUUGACAAACCCUCCUGAUCCCAAUGGCAAAGCCGAUUCAGGCAAGACAGUAGGUCAUGUUAACUUUUGCAAACCCUCCUGAUGGCCUCUGCUAAAUCAGGCAAGACAGUAGGCAUUGUUAACUUUGACAAACCCUCCCGAUGGCAAGGCCAAUAUAGGCAAGACAGUAAGCGUUGUUAACUUUGACAAACCCUCCCGAUGGCAAGGCCAAAUCAGGCAAGACAGGAUGCAUUGUUAAUUUUGACAAACCCUCCCGAUGGCAAAGCCUUUCAGGCAAGACAGUAAGCAUUGUUAACUUUGACAAACCCUCCCGAUGGCAAGGCCGUUUCAGGCAAGACAGUAAGCAUUGUUAACUUUGACAAACCCUCCCGAUGGCAAGGCCAAAUCAGGCAAGACAGUAAGCAUUGUUAACUUUGGCAAACCCUCCCGAUGGCAAGGCCAAACCAGGCAAGACAGCAAGUCAUGUUAAGAGAGGCACAAACGCUAAAUGAGGGCAAAACAAGGAUCCCAUGAGACCCCAUGCCCACAUCGUUUUCCAUAUCCAGGAUACCAAGCAACGCUCAAUGGGCCACAACAUCAACGCAAGCGUAAUGUUGUGGAUCAAAGAGACCGCUUUGGGGUUCAUCCGAUGCCACUAAAAUGGCACGAGACGAAAUUAACUGCAAUCAACCAAGACAAUACCAUUGCUUAGGUACGCAACACAGAAACCCACUAAUAGGCCAGGCAAUAGA
This 814-nucleotide unclassified non-coding RNA is filed under the name Bidens boquetiensis. Its description in RNAcentral is "partial external transcribed spacer". The record is from RNAcentral. Lineage: Eukaryota; Viridiplantae; Streptophyta; Magnoliopsida; Asterales; Asteraceae.